UGCAAGUCGAACGCGAAAGUCCCGCAAGGGAUUAGUAGAGUGGCAAACGGGUGAGUAACACGUGGGUGACCUGCCUUCGAGUGGGGGAUAACGUCCCGAAAGGGACGCUAAUACCGCAUGACAUCCUGCCUUUGAAGAGGCGGAGAUCAAAGCUGGGGAUCGCAAGACCAAGCGCUCAAAGAGGGGCCCGCGCCUGAUUAGCUAGUUGGCGAGGUAACGGCUCACCAAGGCAUCGAUCAGUAUCCGGCCUGAGAGGGCGGACGGACACACUGGGACUGAGACACGGCCCAGACUCCUACGGGAGGCAGCAGUGGGGAAUUGUUCGCAAUGGGCGCAAGCCUGACGACGCAACGCCGCGUGGAGGAUGAAGACCUUCGGGUCGUAAACUCCUUUCGAUCGAGACGAAUGGCCUCCGGGUUAACAGCUCGGAGGAGUGACGGUACCGAGAGAAGAAGCCCCGGCUAACUCCGUGCCAGCAGCCGCGGUAAUACGGGGGGGGCAAGCGUUGUUCGGAAUUACUGGGCGUAAAGGGCUCGUAGGCGGCCAACUAAGUCAGACGUGAAAUCCCUCGGCUUAACCGGGGAACUGCAUCUGAUACUGGAUGGCUUGAGUUCGGGAGAGGGAUGUGGAAUUCCAGGUGUAGCGGUGAAAUGCGUAGAUAUCUGGAGGAACACCGGUGGCGAAGGCGGCAUCCUGGACCGACACUGACGCUGAGGAGCGAAAGCCAGGGGAGCAAACGGGAUUAGAUACCCCGGUAGUCCUGGCCCUAAACGAUGAAUGCUUGGUGUGGCGGGUAUCGAUCCCUGCCGUGCCGAAGCUAACGCAUUAAGCAUUCCGCCUGGGGAGUACGGUCGCAAGGCUG
This 862-nucleotide ribosomal RNA is filed under the name uncultured Acidobacteriota bacterium. RNAcentral's name for it is "bacterial SSU rRNA". It matches the Rfam family "Bacterial small subunit ribosomal RNA", at positions 56 to 896 of the family's 1533-position model. The record is from RNAcentral. Lineage: Bacteria; Pseudomonadati; Acidobacteriota.